UUAACACAUGCAAGUCGAGCGGUAACAGGAGAAGCUUGCUUCUNGGCGUGACGAGCGGCGGACGGGUGAGUAAUACUUAGGAAUCUACCUAGUAGUGGGGGAUAGCUCGGGGAAACUCGAAUUAAUACCGCAUACGACCUACGGGAGAAAGGGGGCAACUUGUUCGUCUCGCUAUUAGAUGAGCCUAAGUCGGAUUAGCUAGAUGGUGGGGUAAAGGCCUACCAUGGCGACGAUCUGUAGCUGGUCUGAGAGGAUGAUCAGCCACACCGGGACUGAGACACGGCCCGGACUCCUACGGGAGGCAGCAGUGGGGAAUAUUGGACAAUGGGGGCAACCCUGAUCCAGCCAUGCCGCGUGUGUGAAGAAGGCCUUUUGGUUGUAAAGCACUUUAAGCAGUGAAGAAGACUCCAUGGUUAAUACCCAUGGACGAUGACAUUAGCUGCAGAAUAAGCACCGGCUAACUCUGUGCCAGCAGCCGCGGUAAUACAGAGGGUGCAAGCGUUAAUCGGAAUUACUGGGCGUAAAGCGAGCGUAGGUGGCUUGAUAAGUCAGAUGUGAAAGCCCCGGGCUUAACCUGGGAACGGCAUCUGAUACUGUNAGGCUAGAGUAGGUGAGA
Molecule: ribosomal RNA, 616 nt
Filed under: Moraxella sp.
Lineage: Bacteria; Pseudomonadati; Pseudomonadota; Gammaproteobacteria; Moraxellales; Moraxellaceae
Description: bacterial SSU rRNA
Rfam family: Bacterial small subunit ribosomal RNA
Source: RNAcentral